Molecule: signal recognition particle RNA, 315 nt
Filed under: Methanolobus profundi
Lineage: Archaea; Methanobacteriati; Methanobacteriota; Methanomicrobia; Methanosarcinales; Methanosarcinaceae
Description: Archaeal signal recognition particle RNA
Rfam family: Archaeal signal recognition particle RNA
Source: RNAcentral
UGGCAGGCUAGUCCGGGUAGGCCGGCGUUACCUGUAACCCGAAAUCGCCGAUAUGCGGGGGACGAAGCCUGGAGAAGAUGUUUGGAUCACUUUCAAACCUGUAAUUUCAACUAAGAAGCCCCGUCCUGCUUGGAUGACGUUGAUAUAAGUGCUUGUUGGAGAACUUGUUCUUAUACCUUAACUGUGGGAACCAGCCGAGGCCCGGAAGGGAGCAGGCCUACCAUAGACAAUCGUCGCUUGGAGGGCUGCGGGGUGGAGAAGAGACUGCAGACCACCUGGAAGUGUGAAAGAUAACGACUCUGGGCGUGCCUGUCA